RNAcentral lists this ribosomal RNA (271 nucleotides) under uncultured bacterium. RNAcentral's name for it is "partial 16S ribosomal RNA". It matches the Rfam family "Bacterial small subunit ribosomal RNA", at positions 514 to 786 of the family's 1533-position model. The record is from RNAcentral.
GGCGGGGUUAUGGGGAGGACCCGAGCUUUAUCCGUUAUCAGUGGGUUAAAAGGGUCUGUAGGCGCCCCUGUAACUCAGUGGUGAAAUCUCCCGGCUCAUCCGGGAAAUUGCCAUUGAUACUGCAGGGCUUGAAUUAUUGGGAAGUAACUAGAAUAUGUAGUGUAGCGGUGAAAUGCUUAGAGUCACAUGGAAUCCCGAUUGCGAAGGCAGGUUUCUACCAAUAUAUUGACGCUGAUGGGCGAGAGCGGGGUCGCGCACAGGAUUAGAUCCC